RNAcentral lists this ribosomal RNA (305 nucleotides) under uncultured bacterium. RNAcentral describes it as "bacterial SSU rRNA". It matches the Rfam family "Bacterial small subunit ribosomal RNA", at positions 333 to 636 of the family's 1533-position model. The record is from RNAcentral.
GUCAACCUACGGGACGCAGCAGUGAGGAAUAUUGGUCAAUGGGAGAGAUCCUGAACCAGCCAAGCCGCGUGAGGGAAGACGGUCCUAUGGAUUGUAAACCUCUUUUGUCGGGGAGCAAAAGACGCCACGUGUGGCGUUCCGAGAGUACCCGAGGAAAAAGCAUCGGCUAACUCCGUGCCAGCAGCCGCGGUAAUACGGAGGAUGCGAGCGUUAUCCGGAUUUAUUGGGUUUAAAGGGUGCGCAGGCGGAAGAUCAAGUCAGCGGUAAAAUUGAGAGGCUCAACCUCUUCGAGCCGUUGAAACUGG